UGGGGAAUAUUGCACAAUGGGCGCAAGCCUGAUGCAGCCAUGCCGCGUGUAUGAAGAAGGCCUUCGGGUUGUAAAGUACUUUCAGUCGGGAGGAAGGUGUCAAGGUUAAUAACCUUGGCAAUUGACGUUACCGACAGAAGAAGCACCGGCUAACUCCGUGCCAGCAGCCGCGGUAAUACGGAGGGUGCAAGCGUUAAUCGGAAUUACUGGGCGUAAAGCGCACGCAGGCGGUUGAUUGAGUCAGAUGUGAAAUCCCCGGGCUUAACCCGGGAAUUGCAUCUGAUACUGGUCAGCUAGAGUCUUGUGAGGGGGGUAGAAUUCCAUGUGUAGCGGUGAAAUGCGUAGAGAUGUGGAGGAAUACCGGUGGCGAAGGCGGCCCCCUGGACAAAGACUGACGCUCAGGUGCGAAAGCGUGGGGAGCAAACAGG
This 428-nucleotide ribosomal RNA is filed under the name Chloroflexota bacterium. Its description in RNAcentral is "Chloroflexi bacterium partial 16S ribosomal RNA". It matches the Rfam family "Bacterial small subunit ribosomal RNA", at positions 355 to 776 of the family's 1533-position model. Lineage: Bacteria; Bacillati; Chloroflexota. The record is from RNAcentral.